GUGGGGAAUUUUGGACAAUGGGGGCAACCCUGAUCCAGCCAUGCCGCGUGCGGGAAGAAGGCCUUCGGGUUGUAAACUGCUUUUGUACGGAACGAAAAGACUCUGGUUAAUACCUGGGGUCCAUGACGGUACCGUAAGAAUAAGCACCGGCUAACUACGUGCCAGCAGCCGCGGUAAUACGUAGGGUGCAAGCGUUAAUCGGAAUUACUGGGCGUAAAGCGUGCGCAGGCGGUUAUAUAAGACAGAUGUGAAAUCCCCGGGCUCAACCUGGGAACUGCAUUUGUGACUGUAUAGCUAGAGUACGGCAGAGGGGGAUGGAAUUCCGCGUGUAGCAGUGAAAUGCGUAGAUAUGCGGAGGAACACCGAUGGCGAAGGCAAUCCCCUGGGCCUGUACUGACGCUCAUGCACGAAAGCGUGGGGAGCAAACAGGAUUAGAAACCCUUGUAGUCC
RNAcentral lists this ribosomal RNA (450 nucleotides) under uncultured bacterium. RNAcentral's name for it is "partial 16S ribosomal RNA". It matches the Rfam family "Bacterial small subunit ribosomal RNA", at positions 354 to 796 of the family's 1533-position model. The record is from RNAcentral.